UACGUAGGGUGCAAGCGUUGUCCGGAAUUAUUGGGCGUAAAGAGCGUGUAGGCGGCCAGGUAGGUCCGUUGUGAAAACUCGAGGCUCAACCUCGAGACGUCGGCGGAAACCCUCUGGCUAGAGUCCGGAAGAGGAGAGUGGAAUUCCUGGUGUAGCGGUGAAAUGCGCAGAUAUCAGGAAGAACACCCGUGGAGGCGGCUCUCUGGGACGGUACUGACGCUGAGACGCGAAAGCGUGGGGAGCAAACAGG
Molecule: ribosomal RNA, 250 nt
Filed under: uncultured bacterium
Lineage: Bacteria
Description: partial 16S ribosomal RNA
Rfam family: Bacterial small subunit ribosomal RNA
Source: RNAcentral